This 1401-nucleotide ribosomal RNA is filed under the name uncultured bacterium. RNAcentral's name for it is "16S ribosomal RNA". It matches the Rfam family "Bacterial small subunit ribosomal RNA". The record is from RNAcentral.
AGAGUUUGAUCCUGGCUCAGGAUGAACGCUAGCGACAGGCUUAACACAUGCAAGUCGAGGGGCAGCAGGGGCGUAGCAAUACGCCUGCUGGCGACCGGCGCACGGGUGAGUAACACGUAUGAAACCUGCCCGUAGCAGGGGGAUAAGCGGAAGAAAUUCCGUCUAAUACCGCGUAAUAACCGUUUGGGGCAUCCCUUAAGGUUUAAAGGAGCGAUCCGGCUACGGAUGGUCAUGCGUCGCAUUAGCUAGUCGGCGGGGUAACGGCCCACCGAGGCGACGAUGCGUAGGGGUUCUGAGAGGAAGGUCCCCCACACUGGUACUGAGACACGGACCAGACUCCUACGGGAGGCAGCAGUGAGGAAUAUUGGUCAAUGGCCGGAAGGCUGAACCAGCCAAGUCGCGUGAGGGAAGACGGCCCUAUGGGUUGUAAACCUCUUUUGUCGGGGAGCAAAGGCCGCCACGCGUGGCGGAUUGAGAGUACCCGAAGAAAAAGCAUCGGCUAACUCCGUGCCAGCAGCCGCGGUAAUACGGAGGAUGCGAGCGUUAUCCGGAUUUAUUGGGUUUAAAGGGUGCGCAGGCGGGAUGUCAAGUCAGCGGUCAAAUCGAGGGGCUCAACCCCUUUCCGCCGUUGAGACUGGCGUCCUAGAGUGGGCGAGAAGUACGCGGAAUGCGUGGUGUAGCGGUGAAAUGCAUAGAUAUCACGCAGAACUCCGAUUGCGAAGGCAGCGUACCGGCGCCCAACUGACGCUCAUGCACGAAAGCGUGGGUAUCGAACAGGAUUAGAUACCCUGGUAGUCCACGCAGUAAACGAUGAAUACUAACUGUCCGGCCCGAUCGGGGGCUGGGCGGUACAGCGAAAGCGUUAAGUAUUCCACCUGGGGAGUACGCCGGCAACGGUGAAACUCAAAGGAAUUGACGGGGGCCCGCACAAGCGGAGGAACAUGUGGUUUAAUUCGAUGAUACGCGAGGAACCUUACCCGGGCUCAAACGACGGAUGAAUGUUUUUGAAAGGAGGCAGCCCUUCGGGGCAUCCGUCGAGGUGCUGCAUGGUUGUCGUCAGCUCGUGCUGUGAGGUGUCGGCUUAAGUGCCAUAACGAGCGCAACCCCCAUCGCCAGUUACCAGCAAGUGAAGUUGGGGACUCUGGCGAGACUGCCGGCGCAAGCUGUGAGGAAGGCGGGGAUGACGUCAAAUCAGCACGGCCCUUACGUCCGGGGCGACACACGUGUUACAAUGGCAGGUACAGAGAGAUGCCACCUGGCGACAGGGAGCAGAACUCGAAAGCCUGUCUCAGUUCGGAUCGGAGUCUGCAACCCGACUCCGUGAAGCUGGAUUCGCUAGUAAUCGCGCAUCAGCCAUGGCGCGGUGAAUACGUUCCCGGGCCUUGCACACACCGCCCGUCA